Molecule: long non-coding RNA, 1673 nt
Filed under: Macaca fascicularis (crab-eating macaque)
Lineage: Eukaryota; Metazoa; Chordata; Mammalia; Primates; Cercopithecidae
Description: lncRNA (ENSMFAG00000050067.1)
Source: RNAcentral
GACUGAUUCUCUUGACCUUUCACUCAUGGUAAAGAGAUGGCUGCCACCACACCAACCAUCAUGUCUGUGUUCAAGACAGAAGGAAAAAAAAAAAAAAAAAGAAACAAACUUCAAGAACCCCCACCCUCACCCUGCAUCCAACUUGGCAGACUUUUCCUUAGGUUUCAUUAGCCAGAAGUGGGUCACAAGGCCACCCUUAGCUAGCUUUGAGCAACUGUCUUCUUCAGAUGCUGCUGCAGCUAUGCUUAGGGAUUAGUGCUUGGAGUUGCAAUCUUCUAUAUUCUUAUCCAACCCCUGUGUGAGCUGGGGCCUCCUUGCCUCUCAAAAUCUAAAUAUGAUUGGCUAGAACACUUGACUGUUAAAGAUUUCCUCAAGGUAUCCUUGAAUUUCCAGGGUUGGGUUGGAAGAUGGCUGAUGCCCUCUAUGUCAGUUCCAGCUUUGGGCACCUGCUUUCCCAAGCGGUGUCUCUGUUCCACAUUGAAUCCCUUCCAAUGUCUCUCAUUCUGCUCCAUCCUCCCCACUAUCACCACCCUAUGCUCCUUCAGCCAAAGAAAAGAAAACAAAUGAGUAACAGCCAAUCAUAAAGUCUUGGGACUUUGAUAUUUGAGACAAAGCUCAGCCAAUCAUAAAGUCUUAUCACACCUCCCCUUCACCAUGACCUUCUUUAUGUAUAUACAUCCUGAGGUGGAGAGUUUCAUCUUCUUUUUAUGUGCAGUGAGCAUGUAUAAAUGAGUAUGAGUUCAUAUAUAAUCUCAUACAAGGCCUCCAUGUCCACCAUCUCACCAGAUUUCUCAGGAAUCCUAAGAUAGGUGUGAGAAGGUCCCCCUGCACCCAGACCUGCCUAACUUUGAGCCCUUUUGCCUUUGAGUUUCAACCCUGAGUCUUAGAGAAUCCCAUUACAAGAGUUAGGAUUUUUGGUUGCAAAUAACAGAGAUCUUGCCCCCCAACCCCCACCCAACUUUAGCUUAAGGGAAAAAAGUAAAUAGUGGCACAGCUGUUUUUCCUAAUGCUCCAAGGACAAAUGUAGAGCCCAGACCUGGGACCCAGAGGGUCUGCAAGAGACUGUCACUCACUUCGUUCUGCUGUACCCUUCCUUCAAUGCAAACUGGCUUUCUCUGCUUCUGUGCCACAACCACCAAGGGCUGUAAUGCUUUUAUAUAACAGCUCCUCCAUUGAAGAGACCAGCUCAAACUAAGCUCUUUGUCCCAAGUCAAUAUUCCCAGGAAAGAGAUUUGUUCAGCCAGGAUCAAGGAUCUAAUCAGCUAUGUUGGGUGGAAGGGGGUCACAUUGCUUAAAUAUGACAGCCUAGUGAGCUUAAAACCAAGCUCCAGUGAGUUAUCUGGGAGCAUGCAGGCUACUAAGAUUUUCAUUUCGGCUGGGCGUGGUGGCUCAGGCCUAUAACCCCAGCACUUUGGGAGGCCGAGACCAGUGGAUCACUUGAGGUCAGGAGUUUGAGAUCAGCCUGACCAACAUGGUGAAACCCUGUCUCUACUUAAAAAAUACAAAAAUCAGCAGGGUGAGGUGGUGCAUGCCUGUAGUCCCAGCUACUCCGGAGACAGAAGCAGGAGAAUCACUUGAACCCCGGGAGGCGGAGGCUGCAGUGAGCUGAAUUGGCACCACUGCACUCCAGCCUGGGUGACAGAGCAAGACUCUGUCUCAAAAAAAAAAAAAAA